RNAcentral lists this small nuclear RNA (130 nucleotides) under Cebus imitator (Panamanian white-faced capuchin). RNAcentral's name for it is "U2 spliceosomal RNA (ENSCCAG00000011778.1)". The stretch from base 1 to 113 matches the Rfam family "U2 spliceosomal RNA". Rfam says of the family: U2 is a small nuclear RNA (snRNA) component of the spliceosome (involved in pre-mRNA splicing). Complementary binding between U2 snRNA (in an area lying towards the 5' end but 3' to hairpin I) and the branchpoint sequence (BPS) of the intron results the bulging out of an unpaired adenosine, on the BPS, which initiates a nucleophilic attack at the intronic 5' splice site, thus starting the first of two transesterification reactions that mediate splicing. The record is from RNAcentral. Lineage: Eukaryota; Metazoa; Chordata; Mammalia; Primates; Cebidae.
AUCACUUCUGAGCCUUUUGGCUAAGAUCAAGUAUAGUGUCUGUUCUUAUCAGUAAAAGGGAAUUUCUUUGAAAUACAUAAAAACACAAGAGAAAAUUUUAUAGGCCACUUCAUGCAGUAGAAUAGACAAU